GAGUUUGAUCCUGGCUCAGGAUGAACGCUGGCGGCGUGCUUAACACAUGCAAGUCGAACGAAGCACUUUAUUUGAUUUCCUUCGGGACUGAUUAUUUUGUGACUGAGUGGCGGACGGGUGAGUAACGCGUGGGUAACCUGCCUUGUACAGGGGGAUAACAGUUGGAAACGGCUGCUAAUACCGCAUAAGCCCACGACCCGGCAUCGGGAAGAGGGAAAAGGAGCAAUCCGCUUUGAGAUGGCCUCGCGUCCGAUUAGCUAGUUGGUGAGGUAACGGCCCACCAAGGCGACGAUUGGUAGCCGGACUGAGAGGUUGAACGGCCACAUUGGGACUGAGACACGGUCCAAACUCCUACGGGAGGCAGCAGUGGGGAAUAUUGCACAAUGGGGGAAACCCUGAUGCAGCGACGCCGCGUGAGUGAUGAAGUAUUUCGGUAUGUAAAGCUCUAUCAGCAGGGAAGAAAAUGACGGUACCUGACUAAGAAGCCCCGGCUAACUACGUGCCAGCCGCCGCGGUAAUUC
Molecule: ribosomal RNA, 521 nt
Filed under: uncultured bacterium
Lineage: Bacteria
Description: bacterial SSU rRNA
Rfam family: Bacterial small subunit ribosomal RNA
Source: RNAcentral